RNAcentral lists this RNase P RNA (204 nucleotides) under Streptococcus mitis. Its description in RNAcentral is "partial RNase P RNA component class B". It matches the Rfam family "Bacterial RNase P class B", at positions 178 to 365 of the family's 365-position model. Rfam says of the family: Ribonuclease P (RNase P) is a ubiquitous endoribonuclease, found in archaea, bacteria and eukarya as well as chloroplasts and mitochondria. The record is from RNAcentral. Lineage: Bacteria; Bacillati; Bacillota; Bacilli; Lactobacillales; Streptococcaceae.
AGUGACGGAGUCUUUCUGGAAACAGAGAGAGUGGAACGCGGUAAACCCCUCAAGCUAGCAACCCAAAUUUUGGUCGGGGCAUGGAGUACACGGAAACGAACGUGGUACUCUGACUGCUACCAGCUCUAGGCUGUUAGUGGUAGACAGAUGAUUAUCGAAGGAAGUGGUCCUAGUCACUUCUGGAACAAAACAUGGCUUAUAGAA